AGUUUGUAGCAUCCAGCUGAGCUGGCAGACUUGCAGCAGCUGGCUGGUUGGUGCAAACAGG
This 61-nucleotide microRNA precursor is filed under the name Branchiostoma lanceolatum (amphioxus). Its description in RNAcentral is "Bla-Mir-4874_pre stem-loop". The record is from RNAcentral. Lineage: Eukaryota; Metazoa; Chordata; Leptocardii; Amphioxiformes; Branchiostomatidae.